ACCAGGAAGGUAGAAGCCAUCUCCAGCAGCCUUUGCUAAGAACCUUGCUAUACCGUACUGUGUUGCUCAGGCAUUGCACUACAGCAAUGGUAAAUCAGAGUCACAACGAAGUCAGUGCUGCUGAGGAAACACUGGGAGCCCAGAAAGGGAAGGGAAUAAAGUUGCGACAUGCUCUGAGUGUGGCACUGGGAGAGGAUUUCUGUGUUCCACUCCUGGUCCUCCCACUGACUCACAACAGGAUCAGGACACGCCGUUUUUACUUUUACAGCCUCAGUUAACCAGUACAUAGUGAUAAUGUUAUUGAAAAUGUAGUGGUGAAUGUUAUCUGACCUUUAUGUUACAGCAUUAUGGUAAAAUCAUGGACUGUGUAACCAUAAAGAGAAUGAAUAUGUUCCUUCCCUCAAGCUGUUUAUGUACAACACAAGUGCUUAUAUACGAACUGAAUACAGUUUAUACAUUUAUCCACUGUCCCCUAAGCAGUUAUCGUUUAAUAAAUGCAUUAGUUUAUUGCUUUCCA
Molecule: long non-coding RNA, 517 nt
Organism: Gymnogyps californianus (California condor)
Lineage: Eukaryota; Metazoa; Chordata; Aves; Accipitriformes; Cathartidae
Exons: 2
Source: RefSeq, a predicted model, not a curated record